AUAGUCGCACAUUUUAUUACUCGUAUAUCCCCUGAAUAUGGCAGGGAGUAUCUACCGGAAACCUUAAAUUUCCGACUAUGGGUGAAUUUGAUAUAGCU
Molecule: non-coding RNA, 98 nt
Organism: Clostridium chauvoei JF4335
Lineage: Bacteria; Bacillati; Bacillota; Clostridia; Eubacteriales; Clostridiaceae
Source: Rfam